CUCGUCUAUGUGGUGCCUGUAAG
This 23-nucleotide microRNA is filed under the name Drosophila ananassae. RNAcentral's name for it is "Dan-Novel-8_5p* (star (passenger))". Lineage: Eukaryota; Metazoa; Arthropoda; Insecta; Diptera; Drosophilidae. The record is from RNAcentral.